AGUGAACGCUGGCGGUAGGCCUAACACAUGCAAGUCGAACGGCAGCACAGUAAGAGCUUGCUCUUACGGGUGGCGAGUGGCGGACGGGUGAGGAAUACAUCGGAAUCUACUUUUUCGUGGGGGAUAACGUAGGGAGACUUACGCUAAUACCGCAUACGUCCUACGGGUGAAAGCAGGGGAUCUUCGGACCUUGCGCGAUUGAAUGAGCCGAUGUCGGAUUAGCUAGUUGGCGGGGUAAAGGCCCACCAAGGCGACGAUCCGUAGCUGGUCUGAGAGGAUGAUCAGCCACACUGGAACUGAGACACGGUCCAGACUCCUACGGGAGGCAGCAGUGGGGAAUAUUGGACAAUGGGCGCAAGCCUGAUCCAGCCAUACCGCGUGGGUGAAGAAGGCCUUCGGGUUGUAAAGCCCUUUUGUUGGGAAAGAAAAGCAGCAGGUUAAUACCCCGCUGUUCUGACGGUACCCAAAGAAUAAGCACCGGCUAACUUCGUG
RNAcentral lists this ribosomal RNA (492 nucleotides) under uncultured bacterium. RNAcentral's name for it is "partial 16S ribosomal RNA". It matches the Rfam family "Bacterial small subunit ribosomal RNA", at positions 29 to 507 of the family's 1533-position model. The record is from RNAcentral.